CUACCAGGCGCAGCAGUGGGGAAUUUUGGACAAUGGGGAAACCCUGAUCCAGCCAUCCCGCGUGUGCGAUGAAGGCCUUCGGGUUGUAAAGCACUUUUGGCAGGAAAGAAACGGCGCAGGAUAAUGCCCGUGCAACUGACAGUACACGAACCAGCACCGGCUAACUGCGUGCCAACAGCCGCGGUAAUACGUAGGGUGCAAGCGUUAAUCAGAUUACUGGGCGUAAAGCGUGCGCAGGCGGUUCGGAAGAGAUCUUGAAAUCCCAGAGCUUAACUUUGGAACUGCAUUUUUAACUACCGAGCUAGAGAGUGUGUCAGAGGGGGAGGUGGAAUUCCCGCGUGUAGCAGUGAAAUGCGUAGAUAUGCGGAGGAACACCGAUGGCGAAGGCAGCCUCCUGGGAUAACGCGACGCUCAUGCACGAAAAGCGUGGGGGAGCAAACAGGAUUAGAUACCCCGGUAGU
Molecule: unclassified non-coding RNA, 461 nt
Filed under: uncultured Bordetella sp.
Lineage: Bacteria; Pseudomonadati; Pseudomonadota; Betaproteobacteria; Burkholderiales; Alcaligenaceae
Description: partial 16S-23S ribosomal RNA intergenic spacer
Rfam family: Bacterial small subunit ribosomal RNA
Source: RNAcentral